This 253-nucleotide ribosomal RNA is filed under the name uncultured bacterium. RNAcentral describes it as "partial 16S ribosomal RNA". It matches the Rfam family "Bacterial small subunit ribosomal RNA", at positions 524 to 776 of the family's 1533-position model. The record is from RNAcentral. RNAcentral also lists the same sequence under 1 other name.
UACGUAGGGUGCAAGCGUUAAUCGGAAUUACUGGGCGUAAAGCGUGCGCAGGCGGUUAUACAAGACAGAUGUGAAAUCCCCGGGCUCAACCUGGGAACUGCAUUUGUGACUGUAUGGCUAGAAUCUGGCAGAGGGGGGUAGAAUUCCACGUGUAGCAGUGAAAUGCGUAGAUAUGUGGAGGAAUACCGAUGGCGAAGGCAGCCCCCUGGGCUAAGAUUGACGCUCAUGCACGAAAGCGUGGGGAGCAAACAGG